Nematostella vectensis (starlet sea anemone) is the source of this 1052-nucleotide long non-coding RNA. RefSeq lists it as uncharacterized. The transcript has 2 exons. NCBI's taxonomy places the organism in Eukaryota, Metazoa, Cnidaria, Anthozoa, Actiniaria, Edwardsiidae. The record is from RefSeq and is a predicted model, not a curated record.
AUCCAUCCAGUCAAUCGUGCAACUCCCAGGCCCCACUCGAUCUUACGCUGUUGUUUGUUUUUUACCGCCUCGCUUUGUGCUGCAAAGUUCGUAUGUUCACAGAAGAAAGGCAGCUUAAAAAUGGUAUUUAAUGAGAAAAUAAGCGGAUAAGCGGAGUUUUUGAGGAAACAUUUGUCUGAAGUACGAGCCGAUGGAAAUUCCCGCCCGUGGCAGCAGCAGCAGCAGCAGCUGAAAAGAAGACUAAGAGGAGAGGCUCUACACUUUUUCACCAUUCUAUAUUCACUCACGUCUAUAUCUAUGUAAGGAGAUCCUGAGAGGAAAAGGCCUUGGAUUGAUGUCUGUUUGCAGCUAUAAAAAUCAUUCACUUGUGUUGACGAGUUCCUUGCUAGCAGAAAGAUCACGGUUUACAACAAAAAGCGAACACAACCACUAGGCGACAAACAUAAAGCGACAAAAAAAACACUGCCAAGGUGGGUUUUUGACGAUGAUUUGCAUUUUGAGUAUGACAUUUUUUUCAUUUAUUGUUGUGCCAAAACCAAUCGCUCAAACUAAAACACCGUAACAGCUUUAGUAUGACGUCAAGAUGACAUAUCAAUGUCAUAUAUCCUUGUUUUGAUUGGCUAAAAUACCAUCUACUUGAAUUCCGAUUGGUUUAUAAUUUUGGCACUUGAAUGGCUUUUAUUCAACUGACAAUCGCCAUGUAAAUGUUAAAUUCGUUAAUACUUACUUUCAAGUUCUAGUAAUUCAGGCGUAUAUUCCUCACGGUUAAACCAACCAAGGACUACCUGAGGGUCAUGCUUGAUGCUAAAGGCUGGAAGACAUAAGAAUAGGGAAAUGUAGCCGGGCUUUCUUACUUUGGUACAGCAGUAUAAGUGUAAUAGGGUUUUUAGAGCAAGAUACUUUGUGUCAAUGAUACUGUAAAUCUGUAAAACAUUUUUUAUCAACCUGAAGAUAAUGAGGAAAGGGGAAAUGAUAGGAGAGUGCUCAAUCAAGUUGUUGCAAUACUGUUAAAGUUUUUAUCAAAAAUAUAGUCCCAGUUUCUUUUUUCUCUC